CCUACGGGUGGCAGCAGUGAGGAAUAUUGGUCAAUGGGCGCGAGCCUGAACCAGCCAAGUAGCGUGAAGGAUGACUGCCCUAUGGGUUGUAAACUUCUUUUAUAAGGGAAUAAAGUGUGGCACGUGUGCCAUUUUGUAUGUACCUUAUGAAUAAGGAUCGGCUAACUCCGUGCCAGCAGCCGCGGUAAUACGGAGGAUCCGAGCGUUAUCCGGAUUUAUUGGGUUUAAAGGGAGCGUAGGUGGACUGUUAAGUCAGUUGUGAAAGUUUGCGGCUCAACCGUAAAAUUGCAGUUGAUACUGGCAGGCUUGAGUACAGUUGAGGUAGGCGGAAUUCGUGGUGUAGCGGUGAAAUGCUUAGAUAUCACGAAGAACUCCGAUUGCGAAGGCAGCUUACUAAACUGCGACUGACACUGAUGCUCGAAAGUGUGGGUAUCAAACAGGAUUAGAUACCCCAGUAGUC
Molecule: ribosomal RNA, 460 nt
Filed under: uncultured bacterium
Lineage: Bacteria
Description: partial 16S ribosomal RNA
Rfam family: Bacterial small subunit ribosomal RNA
Source: RNAcentral